Molecule: non-coding RNA, 522 nt
Organism: Paramuricea clavata
Lineage: Eukaryota; Metazoa; Cnidaria; Anthozoa; Malacalcyonacea; Plexauridae
Source: the annotation of a GenBank genome assembly
GCCACUUGUUGCCACUUACCAAGUUCAACAAUAACUUCGCCGGCUUCAGCCACCAAUAUCAUUCAAAACUCCAUCAUACUCCGUCAAACACAGUAUCUUAUAUACAGGUGAAGAACUUCCUGACAGUGCUUCAAAAGUAUUUAUAAAAUGCUUCAAAGAACACACGAGUUAAUUUUAAACUUCCCAGCUCGGUGGUGACGGUUCCCGCUAGAUUGAACAGCAAUUCCUGGCUUUAUAAGCGAGUUUGCGAUUCGAUGGUAUUGUUCGCAGGUUUCCCACCUUAACUGGUUUCGGUUUCGUGAUGUGCUGUUAAACUGAGCGAAAUAUCGUUCGUUACACGGAGUUGCUUUCGUGUCAAGUUAUGGCGGAAUGAAUGAUGAGAUAAAAGCAAGUGUCUCGACACGACACAUGCGUAGGCAUUUGUAAAGGGUUUUUGUUCGUGUUUACGGCGGCAUGACUAGUUACGUCGUAAUUUGAAAAGGAACUCACGAGCUGUAUACCCUGGAUUCCAGAGCCUUCGAC